UGUCCUGCCGAGGAGGGGAGCGAUAGAGCAGCUUGGUGGCACCUGGUGUCCAGCCAAGGUCAAAGCAUCCCAAAUGCGCUUCCAGUUUGUGUGGUGUAGAACAGACGCCUGUUAACACCUACGCUGCCUGCCCAAAAUGUCAGCGAGCGCUGCCGGCCGGGGGGAAGGCCUACCAGGGGUUGUGUGGAGGUGCUGAUGUGCUGCAGCUUUCACAGAGCUGCGUGCACCGUAUGCAACCCUAAGGCUUCGUUUUUCCAUGAACUCCAACAUCAGGCUUGACGGUAACGACAGAUGGCAGAGGCACUGACUUCAGCUGCUUUGAGGAAUAAACGCUGAGCUCAGAGUACUUUCAGACUGUCUGUUACCGAGUAUCUUAAAAAAAUUCAUUGAUUACAGAUUGGAAUGGAUAGAGACAAAUUGGUUUCC
Long non-coding RNA from Egretta garzetta (little egret), 426 nucleotides. RefSeq lists it as uncharacterized. The transcript is spliced from 3 exons. The record is from RefSeq and is a predicted model, not a curated record. Lineage: Eukaryota; Metazoa; Chordata; Aves; Pelecaniformes; Ardeidae.